AUUGAACGCUGGCGGCGUGCCUAACACAUGCAAGUCGAGCGGUAACAGGUGUAGCAAUACAUGCUGACGAGCGGCGAACGGGUGAGUAAUGCUUCGGAAUCUGCCCAUGUAGUGGGAAUAACCAGCCGAAAGGUUGGCUAAUACCGCAUACGACCCUUGCCCACAAGGCAAAGGUGAAAGCAGGGGAUCGCAAGACCUUGCGCUAUUGGAUGAGCCGAAGUCGGAUUAGCUAGUUGGUAGGGUAACGGCCUACCAAGGCGACGAUCCGUAGCUGGUCUGAGAGGACGACCAGCCACACUGGGACUGGAGACACGGCCCAGACUCCUAC
RNAcentral lists this ribosomal RNA (328 nucleotides) under uncultured bacterium. RNAcentral's name for it is "bacterial SSU rRNA". It matches the Rfam family "Bacterial small subunit ribosomal RNA", at positions 30 to 342 of the family's 1533-position model. The record is from RNAcentral.